Molecule: transfer RNA, 73 nt
Filed under: Actinomycetota bacterium
Lineage: Bacteria; Bacillati; Actinomycetota
Description: tRNA-Val
Source: RNAcentral
AGCCCUGGUAGGGCGAUCCGCCUGAUCUGCCUUCACACGGCAGAGGUCACUGGUUCGAUACCAGUACCGCCCA